Molecule: transfer RNA, 73 nt
Organism: Camelus ferus (Wild Bactrian camel)
Lineage: Eukaryota; Metazoa; Chordata; Mammalia; Artiodactyla; Camelidae
Rfam family: tRNA
About the family: Transfer RNA (tRNA) molecules are approximately 80 nucleotides in length.
Source: Rfam
GAGGGUAGAGCUCAAAUGGUAGAGCACAUGCUUAGCAUGCACGAGGUCCUAGGUUCAAUCCCCAGUACCUCCU